RNAcentral lists this transfer RNA (65 nucleotides) under Khawia sinensis. Its description in RNAcentral is "tRNA-Ser". Lineage: Eukaryota; Metazoa; Platyhelminthes; Cestoda; Caryophyllidea; Lytocestidae. The record is from RNAcentral.
AGCAGAAGAUACUUUUGUAAUUUUAAUUUGAAGUUAAAAAUCUUGGUUAGUUCCAACUUCUGUUA